This 347-nucleotide long non-coding RNA is filed under the name Heterocephalus glaber (naked mole-rat). RNAcentral's name for it is "lncRNA (ENSHGLG00100030494.2)". Lineage: Eukaryota; Metazoa; Chordata; Mammalia; Rodentia; Bathyergidae. The record is from RNAcentral.
AGACUGCUUAGCAAUGCUGGAAUCUUGGAGACAUCAGCAUGCUUAUGUCACAAGCCACAUCUGUCACUGCAGGAUUUGUGUUUGUCCUCACGUUAAUAAUAACUGAUGGAGGCACCAAGUCGCCUUCCCUUAAAAGCAAGGAGUCUGAAUAUCAGUUUGGGAAGAGGUGCUUCAAAGAUCAAACCAGGCCCAUGACAGUGACAUGUACAGAGAGGAAGAAACCGGACAGCUGAGGAAGGCCUGAGAGGGGCUCAAGUUGCAGGAAUCAUAAGACCUUUGGCACCACUAAGUGAAACUUCACCAUGGAGAGGGAGUCAGUCUUCCCAUAGCCCAGAAGCCCCACCCAC